Molecule: ribosomal RNA, 392 nt
Filed under: uncultured bacterium
Lineage: Bacteria
Description: bacterial SSU rRNA
Rfam family: Bacterial small subunit ribosomal RNA
Source: RNAcentral
AGUGAACGCUGGCGGCAGGCCUAACACAUGCAAGUCGAACGGCAGCACGGCAGUAGCAAUACUGUGGAUGGCGAGUGGCGGACGGGUGAGGAAUACAUCGGGAUCUACCCUGUUGUGGGGGAUAACGUAGGGAAACUUACGCUAAUACCGCAUAAGAACUGAGGUUGAAAGCGGCGGACCGCAAGGCGUCGCGCGAUUGGAUGAACCGAUGUCCGAUUAGCUAGUUGGCGGGGUAAAGGCCCACCAAGGCGACGAUCGGUAGCUGGUCUGAGAGGACGACCAGCCACACUGGAACUGAGACACGGUCCAGACUCCUACGGGAGGCAGCAGUGGGGAAUAUUGGACAAUGGGCGCAAGCCUGAUCCAGCCAUGCCGCGUGGGUGAAGAAGGCC